UGAUAUACUAGAUGAGUUAACGAUUUUGAUUCUAAUGCAGCUUUACUUUACAUUGCAACUAAGAAACAAGAAUAUUUCAUGAGAUGUACAGUUAAAAUUGUGCCAUGCGAAAAGAACAAAGACAAGAUUAGACAUAAAAACCCCACGAUGGCAAAUAUGUACAUCGGCUGAUAUCUCCAAAUUGUGAAAAAGUCACCUUCGAUCUUAUGGUAUCUUGAAAAAUCACUCAACAUGGGUGUGUUAGCCAUGAACUUAAUUAAAGAAAAUAUCGCCUUCAAUCACCUCUUGUGCAAUUGUAUGUAGCCAAGGCAAUAUGUUUCACUCUAUAAACUUCCAGAGUCCACUUUUUCCCCUUCUACGUUUAUACCUGCUGAAAUUAACUCCCUUCUCUUUCUGCUAAUGCGGCUUGUGGGUAGGAAAGUGCUAACAUUUUCUGUUUCACCAUGUAUAACUACAACUUAUGCCUGCACCCUUGACUCGACAUGUAUGUAUUGCAAACUGACAUGAUCUUUAUGAUAUAUCUCCUCUCUCUACAACUUUCAAACUCAAGAGUCAAGAAGAAACAUAAUGAAAAUACUGGCUUCAAUCAGAGCCCUGAACAAGUUCCACCAAGGUAAUUAUGAACCUGCCAAUUUUGAAAGAUUGAAACUUCAAGAGAAGGGGAUUAUGUAGGAUAUGUUAUAUUUACAGGAAACUUUUGUCCUAAAAAAUGAUUCAAAAUUACUUAGCAGAAAGAUAUACUCUUUACAUCAAAGCAAUAUACAAAAGUAGAAUUUAGUAUAAAUUUCAAAACAAUAUAAAGUGACGAAACACUUAUGGAAUAAGAAAAAUGUGACAUUAUAAACAGAUUGCUUUACGCUGGAGCAUCAAUACCUUUUUAUGUUAAGAAAGCUAAAUAUGUGAAGCAAGAAAUUUUGAUCCAUUCUUAUAUAUACCAAACAUCAUUAGGUAAACAUAAAAUUAUCAAAAGGACUAAGCCUCACAAAGAGCCUUUUUGAUCAAAGAAAGAUAUGUUUGCAGAUAUAAAUAUACAUUCUUUUAGCACAAACAAAAUACCACAUUGCAAUAGGUACUCUAAUAGUUGGAGUAAAGUGGACUAUAUAUAUAUAUAUAUAUAUAUAUAUAUAUAUAUAUAUAUAUAUAGUACUAGUAGUAGUAGUAGUAGUAGUNNNNNNNNNNNNNNNNNNNNNNNNNNNNNNNNNNNNNNNNNNNNNNNNNNNNNNNNNNNNNNNNNNNNNNNNNNNNNNNNNNNNNNNNNNNNNNNNNNNNNNNNNNNNNNNNNNNNNNNNNNNNNNNNNNNNNNNNNNNNNNNNNNNNNNNNNNNNNNNNNNNNNNNNNNAGAUGGUUUUAUCCUGUGUACUGAGUUGAUGCCGUAUUAUUGCUUUGAAAAUUCAUUUACUGACUGAGAAAAGAAAGAUCCGUAUGUUCCUUUGACAUUAUUAAUCUUCUCUUUCCAAAAUACUAUUUUUCCUGUUCCAUUCAUUCAUUUAAUUUCUUUGUACUUGCUUACGUUUUUGGACCAAAAAGAUAGUAAUCAUGCGAGAAGAAGGUAGAUGAGAAGAGAAUAAGAUAGUUGAAGAAGGAUUGAAGAAGCUUGAUACCCAUACUCCACCUUAUAAUGGUAAUGGAUACUGAGUUUGGGUCGUUUUCUUCCUUUCUGUCUUUUUAUUUUUCCAAUGGCCCAUUAGAGGCUUCUCUUCCUUUUCGUUUAAUCUCCUUGGAAUUUUUAAAUAUCUUAAUUUAUCAAUUUUCUUGAAAUAGUGAUAUGAAUAAAUUGGUUGAAAAAAUAAAGAAUAGAAUUCAAGAAGCAAAAGAGCUUUAUGUAAUAGCUUGCAAUUGAUCUUUCACCUUCUUUCCAGGCUUCUAGCUCAGAAUUGGAUGACAUUCGAUUCAAAACUAUAAAUGCAGAACUGAACUUUAAAAUCAAGGAGAAAGAAGAAAAUGAGAUAAAAUAGUAAGACUCACCAAUCAGAAGUGGUAGAACACCAUAAAUCUCUAAGCGAGGGUAGCGGCAAAGAACUGCAACAAUAGCCCAGUCCCAGGAGCAACUAUAUUGCCAUAGAGGGAAAAGCGUGUAUUAAAGGAUAAAAAAAUGUGUAUCUCCAUAGCGUCCUACUCUAACUGGAGGGGGAAAAAGAAGCACAGAGAUGCUAAAACCCAGGCAAAGUGGAAGACGAUGAAUGGAAAAGCUCUAGAAGAUUUUAGAGCCACAAAGAAAGCAAAAUAGAGGAGGGGUACGUGGCAAUUCUGCUUAGGGUAAAAGACGGAACCCCGUAAAAGACACCGCAUACUAACUAAAGUAAAGAUUAGAAAAGUUCAAUAUGCCCUUAGUCGACCAUCUUAGCUUUUCUAUGUAUACCUAUCUUCGUAGCAAACAAAGAUUCUAAUCUUCAACUAAGAUUGUUCGCUAUUAACCACAUGAUCUAACUGAAAAAGAAAUGGAGAAGCAACUCACUAAAUAUUUGUGAAGCAUGUUCCCCGGAAAGGGACAAUGUUGUGUUAAGUUCACCACCAACAGAUGUCACACACAUGCCUAAAAUGCAACACAAACCAACAUAACCGGAAGCACAUAUUAAUAUUCUAUCUUCUGAGAAUUAAGCUCUUGGGUUCCUAUAUCUUUUUUCAUAAUUGAAAGCCACUAUAUCAGUGUAAUUCUUCCGUGGAACAAUGAUCAAUGAUCUAAUUAUAUUAAUAAACCGUGUACUUCUAAAUGAGUUUGGAGAAAUAUUAAGAAAGUAGUAGGAGGGUCUUCAUCUUCACUAUAAAGAUGAUCCACCAGAAUUUAGUAAAAAGGAACUUCUUUUUACAACAAUCCAGUAAAAAGAAAAUUGGAAUAGAAAUCCAAUAAGCUUCUGGAUGUUUUUUAUCACUAAAGCAGAAGAAACAAAAAAAGGGAGCAAUGCACAAGCAUUCCCUGAACAGACGGCGAAAGGCAAAGAAAAAAGGUAAUUUGCAUUACUGUAAAAUUCCAUCUAAGCACAAUCUACUCGUGUUAAUUUAUCCGUAAGAAUUGAUCUGAAAUAUAGAAUCAAUACUAUUCCAAAUUCCUCGAAUUAGAGCACUAUGCCAAAUAUAUGAUUAUAAUAUUGAGAAAUUUCAAGUAAAACAACCUCAAAGACAUUCAAGAAGCAGGUAUACUAAAAUAAAGAAUCCUCUAAAAAGAAUAUUACCUCUGUACAUAUCAUAAAAUAUGUUCCUAGAGGUUGAACAUUUAAAGAGCAGCAAAUACAUGGAAAAAGAGCACCAUUGUUGUCGGCGAAGAACUCCAAGUUAUGCUCUAAGCUCUUCUACUCACGCCUAACUCUCCAACAAAAAAGGUCAAAUCAGACAGGAAAAUAAAUUCCUCAUACAGAUUAACCGGAAAAAAAAGAACAAGAUUUGGACAAAAAUUAAAAGAGGAGGUGACGUGAAAAUUACAAUACCCGAUUGAGAAGAUGAAGAGAACUGGAAAGGGCAUUAUCUGAGAAGUCUGGAGAACUUGAACAAACAAGGAAAUAAAAGAAGGUGAAGCAAUUGAUCUUCCUACAGGUUUGAAAGAAAAUCAUACUUCCUCAGUUUUAAUUCCGUUUUAAUAAUUUGUGGUCCCGAACAAGUAAAAAGUAAAGUAUUUGUGUGGUUAUAAAAGCUUCUCAUUAGGAUAGAAUUGUAAGUUUAAGCUAAAUUGUUUCUAAAUUAUUUCCAAAUUUAGAAAUAAAUUAUUCUUUUUAAAUCGAACCAAAAAAAAAUAAGUUCACAGCGGACGGAGAACGGAGGGAGUACAGCAAUUGGAAUAGGGACGGAAGAAGGGAG
This 3789-nucleotide long non-coding RNA is filed under the name Nicotiana tabacum (common tobacco). RNAcentral's name for it is "long non-coding RNA (NTAB_LNC011434)". Lineage: Eukaryota; Viridiplantae; Streptophyta; Magnoliopsida; Solanales; Solanaceae. The record is from RNAcentral.